AUUCCCCUAGUAACUGCGAGUGAAGCGGGAAAAGCUCAAAUUUGAAAUCUGGCGGCCUUUGGUCGUCCGAGUUGUAAUCUAGAGAAGUGUUGCCCGCGUUGGACCGUGUACAAGUCUCCUGGAAUGGAGCGUCAUAGAGGGUGAGAAUCCCGUCUUUGACACGGACUCCCAAGGCUUUGUGGUACGCUCUCAAAGAGUCGAGUUGUUUGGGAAUGCAGCUCAAAAUGGGUGGUAAAUGCCAUCUAAAGCUAAAUACAGGCGAGAGACCGAUAGCGAACAAGUACCGUGAGGGAAAGAUGAAAAGAACUUUGGAAAGAGAGUUAAACAGUACGUGAAAUUGCUGAAAGGGAAACGCUUGAAGUCAGUCGCGUCGGCCGGGAAUCAACUGUGCUCUUGCGCGGUGUACUUUCCGGUCGAUGGGUCAGCAUCAGUUUUGGCCAGCGGACAAAUUCAGUCGGAAUGUGGCUCCCUCGGGAGUGUUAUAGCCCUCUGUUGUAUACGCUGGCUGGGACUGAGGAACUCAGCAUGCCGCAAGGCCGGGUCUUCGGACCACGUUCAUGCUCAGGAUGCUGGCAAAAUGGCUUUAAUCGACCCGUCUUGAAACACGGACCAAGGAGUCUAACAUGCUUGCGAGUGUUUGGGUGGAAAACCCUUGCGCGUAAUGAAAGUGAAAGUUGAGAUCCCUGUCGUGGGGAGCAUCGACGCCCGGACCUGAAGUUUACUGACGGACCCGCGGUAGAGCACGUAUGUUGGGACCCGAAAGAUGGUGAACUAUGCCUGAAUAGGGUGAAGCCAGAGGAAACUCUGGUGGAGGCUCGUAGCGAUUCUGACGUGCAAAUCGAUCGUCAAAUUUGGGUAUAGGGGCGAAAGACUAAUCGAACCAUCUAGUAGCU
RNAcentral lists this ribosomal RNA (893 nucleotides) under Crepidotus indicus. Its description in RNAcentral is "LSU rRNA". It matches the Rfam family "Eukaryotic large subunit ribosomal RNA", at positions 74 to 952 of the family's 3401-position model. Lineage: Eukaryota; Fungi; Basidiomycota; Agaricomycetes; Agaricales; Crepidotaceae. The record is from RNAcentral.